This 2095-nucleotide ribosomal RNA is filed under the name Staphylococcus aureus. RNAcentral describes it as "partial 23S ribosomal RNA". It matches the Rfam family "Bacterial large subunit ribosomal RNA", at positions 682 to 2777 of the family's 2925-position model. Lineage: Bacteria; Bacillati; Bacillota; Bacilli; Caryophanales; Staphylococcaceae. The record is from RNAcentral.
UCUGAAUAGGGCGUUUAGUAUUUGGUCGUAGACCCGAAACCAGGUGAUCUACCCUUGGUCAGGUUGAAGUUCAGGUAACACUGAAUGGAGGACCGAACCGACUUACGUUGAAAAGUGAGCGGAUGAACUGAGGGUAGCGGAGAAAUUCCAAUCGAACCUGGAGAUAGCUGGUUCUCUCCGAAAUAGCUUUAGGGCUAGCCUCAAGUGAUGAUUAUUGGAGGUAGAGCACUGUUUGGACGAGGGGCCCCUCUCGGGUUACCGAAUUCAGACAAACUCCGAAUGCCAAUUAAUUUAACUUGGGAGUCAGAACAUGGGUGAUAAGGUCCGUGUUCGAAAGGGAAACAGCCCAGACCACCAGCUAAGGUCCCAAAAUAUAUGUUAAGUGGAAAAGGAUGUGGCGUUGCCCAGACAACUAGGAUGUUGGCUUAGAAGCAGCCAUCAUUUAAAGAGUGCGUAAUAGCUCACUAGUCGAGUGACACUGCGCCGAAAAUGUACCGGGGCUAAACAUAUUACCGAAGCUGUGGAUUGUCCUUUGGACAAUGGUAGGAGAGCGUUCUAAGGGCGUUGAAGCAUGAUCGUAAGGACAUGUGGAGCGCUUAGAAGUGAGAAUGCCGGUGUGAGUAGCGAAAGACGGGUGAGAAUCCCGUCCACCGAUUGACUAAGGUUUCCAGAGGAAGGCUCGUCCGCUCUGGGUUAGUCGGGUCCUAAGCUGAGGCCGACAGGCGUAGGCGAUGGAUAACAGGUUGAUAUUCCUGUACCACCUAUAAUCGUUUUAAUCGAUGGGGGGACGCAGUAGGAUAGGCGAAGCGUGCGAUUGGAUUGCACGUCUAAGCAGUAAGGCUGAGUAUUAGGCAAAUCCGGUACUCAUUAAGGCUGAGCUGUGAUGGGGAGAAGACAUUGUGUCUUCGAGUCGUUGAUUUCACACUGCCGAGAAAAGCCUCUAGAUAGAAAAUAGGUGCCCGUACCGCAAACCGACACAGGUAGUCAAGAUGAGAAUUCUAAGGUGAGCGAGCGAACUCUCGUUAAGGAACUCGGCAAAAUGACCCCGUAACUUCGGGAGAAGGGGUGCUCUUUAGGGUUAACGCCCAGAAGAGCCGCAGUGAAUAGGCCCAAGCGACUGUUUAUCAAAAACACAGGUCUCUGCUAAACCGUAAGGUGAUGUAUAGGGGCUGACGCCUGCCCGGUGCUGGAAGGUUAAGAGGAGUGGUUAGCUUCUGCGAAGCUACGAAUCGAAGCCCCAGUAAACGGCGGCCGUAACUAUAACGGUCCUAAGGUAGCGAAAUUCCUUGUCGGGUAAGUUCCGACCCGCACGAAAGGCGUAACGAUUUGGGCACUGUCUCAACGAGAGACUCGGUGAAAUCAUAGUACCUGUGAAGAUGCAGGUUACCCGCGACAGGACGGAAAGACCCCGUGGAGCUUUACUGUAGCCUGAUAUUGAAAUUCGGCACAGCUUGUACAGGAUAGGUAGGAGCCUUUGAAACGUGAGCGCUAGCUUACGUGGAGGCGCUGGUGGGAUACUACCCUAGCUGUGUUGGCUUUCUAACCCGCACCACUUAUCGUGGUGGGAGACAGUGUCAGGCGGGCAGUUUGACUGGGGCGGUCGCCUCCUAAAAGGUAACGGAGGCGCUCAAAGGUUCCCUCAGAAUGGUUGGAAAUCAUUCAUAGAGUGUAAAGGCAUAAGGGAGCUUGACUGCGAGACCUACAAGUCGAGCAGGGUCGAAAGACGGACUUAGUGAUCCGGUGGUUCCGCAUGGAAGGGCCAUCGCUCAACGGAUAAAAGCUACCCCGGGGAUAACAGGCUUAUCUCCCCCAAGAGUUCACAUCGACGGGGAGGUUUGGCACCUCGAUGUCGGCUCAUCGCAUCCUGGGGCUGUAGUCGGUCCCAAGGGUUGGGCUGUUCGCCCAUUAAAGCGGUACGCGAGCUGGGUUCAGAACGUCGUGAGACAGUUCGGUCCCUAUCCGUCGUGGGCGUAGGAAAUUUGAGAGGAGCUGUCCUUAGUACGAGAGGACCGGGAUGGACAUACCUCUGGUGUACCAGUUGUCGUGCCAACGGCAUAGCUGGGUAGCUAUGUGUGGACGGGAUAAGUGCUGAAAG